UCCCUUUUCAGCCUCUUGUAGGUUUUUACAUUUCAGUUUCACUUGGCAUUUUGUUCAGUGGUGUUUCUUGUUUUGUUAAUUUUCCUUUUUUGGGGGAAAGGGGUUCAGGUGGUCUGGCUUGCUCCUCCAACAAAUGAACAGCAGCCCACAAGCCAGAAGCUGUCUGCAAGGCUUCAUUUCCCUCUUCACCGAGCAUAACCAUAACCAUAACCAGCUUCAGACUAUUUGCCGAGCCCACUUCUGCCCCACACUGAGAGGGUAAUCAGAACCAUCUAUCACUAAGUGAAUGGACUGCUGUUCUCCUUUCCAUCCUUCUGGACCAUCCCGUUCCUCAGUCUUGGACUUGUAGGAGUUUACUUCCCUGGAUGAGUAAUGACUUCCUGUUAGAAUGAGAGAUAAAAUACAUAUGAAUUGAAUCUUCAUAUGAGUAGAAGAGAACCGGCAAUCAGAUUUGACGACACUGUAUGUUUAUCUGUUCCCAGAACUUAGCAUGGGUCACACCAGGAUAUUUAUUACUAUAAUCUAUAUUCAAGAUUUAUGACAUGGUGGUCUUUUA
Long non-coding RNA from Psammomys obesus (fat sand rat), 556 nucleotides. RefSeq lists it as uncharacterized. The transcript has 3 exons. The record is from RefSeq and is a predicted model, not a curated record. Lineage: Eukaryota; Metazoa; Chordata; Mammalia; Rodentia; Muridae.